CACCUCAGGAUCGCACCUGGAGAGUUUCCAGUACUCUCCCAGUCUGGGCUACAGGAGGGAGAGUCAAGCAGACGCCCAUUCCAUUCCUAACUUGGGCCGUGGCUAGCAAAUGGAAGGCAAUCUGCUACAAGU
This is a small nucleolar RNA of Tachyglossus aculeatus (Australian echidna), 132 nucleotides long. The record is from RefSeq and is a predicted model, not a curated record. NCBI's taxonomy places the organism in Eukaryota, Metazoa, Chordata, Mammalia, Monotremata, Tachyglossidae.